AACGAACGCUGGCGGCAGGCUUAACACAUGCAAGUCGAAGGAGAAGCAGGACUUCGGUUCUGUGGACACUGGCGAACGGGUGAGUAACGCGUGGGAACCUACCCUGGGGUGGGGGACAACCACUGGAAACGGUGGCUAAUACCGCAUACGCCCUCCGGGGGAAAACUUUUGUGCCCUGGGAUGGUCCCGCGUCGGAUUAGCUAGUUGGUGGGGUAACGGCCUACCAAGGCGACGAUCCGUAACUGGUCUGAGAGGAUGAUCAGUCACACUGGAACUGAGACACGGUCCAG
Molecule: ribosomal RNA, 290 nt
Filed under: uncultured bacterium
Lineage: Bacteria
Description: partial 16S ribosomal RNA
Rfam family: Bacterial small subunit ribosomal RNA
Source: RNAcentral